CUACGGGAUGCAGCAGUGGGGAAUAUUGCACAAUGGGCGCAAGCCUGAUGCAGCCAUGCCGCGUGUAUGAAGAAGGCCUUCGGGUUGUAAAGUACUUUCAGCGGGGAGGAAGGGAGUAAAGUUAAUACCUUUGCUCAUUGACGUUACCCGCAGAAGAAGCACCGGCUAACUCCGUGCCAGCAGCCGCGGUAAUACGGAGGGUGCAAGCGUUAAUCGGAAUUACUGGGCGUAAAGCGCAAGCAGGCGGUUUGUUAAGUCAGAUGUGAAAUCCCCGGGCUCAACCUGGGAACUGCAUCUGAUACUGGCAAGCUUGCGCCUCGUAGAGGGGGGUAGAAUUCCAGGUGUAGCGGUGAAAUGCGUAGAGAUCAGGAGGAAUACCGGUGGCGAAGGCGGCCCCCUGGACGAAGACUGACGCUCAGGUGCGAAAGCGUGGGGAGCAAACAGGAUUAGAUACCCGCGUAGUC
RNAcentral lists this ribosomal RNA (464 nucleotides) under uncultured bacterium. RNAcentral's name for it is "partial 16S ribosomal RNA". It matches the Rfam family "Bacterial small subunit ribosomal RNA", at positions 339 to 795 of the family's 1533-position model. The record is from RNAcentral.